RNAcentral lists this ribosomal RNA (292 nucleotides) under uncultured eukaryote. Its description in RNAcentral is "partial 18S ribosomal RNA". It matches the Rfam family "Eukaryotic small subunit ribosomal RNA", at positions 6 to 299 of the family's 1831-position model. The record is from RNAcentral.
GGUUGAUCCUGCCAGUAGUCAUACGCUUGUCUCAAAGAUUAAGCCAUGCAUGUGUAAGAAUAAAUAACUUUAUCUUGAAUCUGCGAAUGGCUCAUUAUAUCAGUUAUAGUUUAUUUGGUAAUUCUUUACUACUUGGAUAACCGUAGUAAUUCUAGAGCUAAUACAUGCAUAAAAACCCGACUUCUGGAAGGGUUGUAUUUAUUAGAAAUAAACCAAUUCGUUCUCGGACGAUAUUGUGGUGAGUCAUAAUAACUUAUCGGAUCGCAGUGGCUUAUGCCGGCGAUGAAUCAUU